AAUAGAUGGGAGCAGCAGUCAGCGUCGUGCAACCUCUCAUGUGCAGUGCAGCUGCACUGACGCUUUACGUUGGCAUCCUUCGUUAUCUUUUCAAGGCCAGCGUGCUUUCUCACAUCGAAUGUCUCCCCAUAUAAGUGGUAGUGAAACGCGCUCUUUCACCACAACGUCAGCGAUCCGUGCUGUAAGACGCUUUUCUUUCCACGCACCAGCGAUCACUCGCCAAGCGAAACCAUGGACGCCUACAUCCUGGGUGAAAGCCAGCAACUGAGCGAAAUCUGUGCAAACUUGGGCCUCUAGUCAACACGGCGUUUCGGGCACUGCUUUUUUUUCUUCUAUUCGGGAUCAUGACAUGACCAUCCCGAAAUCAUCACGAACAACGAACACUGUACGUCUAAUAUGAUUCCCUUAGAAAAGCACUGGACAUUGUAUACCACACUGAAAACAAGGCUUUGAAGACGAAGAUGUACCAGAAUAUCCUGAUAGAAACGUGCAGAUGUCCGGAAGCGAUCAGAAGAAAGCAGGCCAAUACAGAGCUAAAUAAACAAUUUUGAAAAAAAGUAAA
RNAcentral lists this long non-coding RNA (562 nucleotides) under Rhipicephalus microplus (southern cattle tick). RNAcentral's name for it is "uncharacterized LOC119186174". The record is from RNAcentral. Lineage: Eukaryota; Metazoa; Arthropoda; Arachnida; Ixodida; Ixodidae.